UGGGGAAUCUUCCGCAAUGGACGAAAGUCUGACGGAGCAACGCCGCGUGAGUGAAGACGGCCUUCGGGUUGUAAAGCUCUGUGAUCCGGGACGAAAGAGCCUGAGGUAAAUAGCCUAAGGAAGUGACGGUACCGGAAAAGCAAGCCACGGCUAACUACGUGCCAGCCGCCGCGGUAAUACGUAGGUGGCAAGCGUUGUCCGGAAUUAUUGGGCGUAAAGCGCGCGCAGGCGGCUUACUAAGUCCAUCUUAAAAGUGCGGGGGUUAACCCCGUGAUGGGAUGGAAACUGGAAAGCUGGAGUAUCGGAGAGGAAAGUGGAAUUCCUAGUGUAGCGGUGAAAUGCGUAGAGAUUAGGAAGAACACCGGUGGCGAAGGCGACUUUCUGGAAGAAAUCUGACGCUGAGGCGCGAAAGCGUGGGGAGCAAACAGG
This 429-nucleotide ribosomal RNA is filed under the name Fusobacteriota bacterium. RNAcentral's name for it is "Fusobacteria bacterium partial 16S ribosomal RNA". It matches the Rfam family "Bacterial small subunit ribosomal RNA", at positions 355 to 776 of the family's 1533-position model. The record is from RNAcentral. Lineage: Bacteria; Fusobacteriati; Fusobacteriota.